AAAUUGAAGAGUUUGAUCAUGGCUCAGAUUGAACGCUGGCGGCAGGCCUAACACAUGCAAGUCGAACGGUAACAGGAAACAGCUUGCUGUUUCGCUGACGAGUGGCGGACGGGUGAGUAAUGUCUGGGAAACUGCCUGAUGGAGGGGGAUAACUACUGGAAACGGUAGCUAAUACCGCAUAACGUCGCAAGACCAAAGAGGGGGACCUUCGGGCCUCUUGUCAUCGGAUGUGCCCAGAUGGGAUUAGCUAGUAGGUGGGGUAACGGCUCACC
Molecule: ribosomal RNA, 272 nt
Filed under: Escherichia coli
Lineage: Bacteria; Pseudomonadati; Pseudomonadota; Gammaproteobacteria; Enterobacterales; Enterobacteriaceae
Description: partial 16S ribosomal RNA
Rfam family: Bacterial small subunit ribosomal RNA
Source: RNAcentral